UGAGCAAUCUGCCCUUCUCAUCGGAAUAAGCGUUGGAAACGACGUCUAAUGCCGAAUACGACCUCCUUUCGCAUGAUCGGAGGUGGAAAGCUCCGGCGGAGAAGGAUGAGCUCGCGGCCUAUCAGCUAGUUGGUGUGGUAAUGGCCCACCAAGGCGACGACGGGUAGCCGGCCUGAGAGGGUGACCCGGCCACACGUGGGACUGAGACACGGCCCAGACCUCCGUACGGGAGCAG
Molecule: ribosomal RNA, 235 nt
Filed under: uncultured bacterium
Lineage: Bacteria
Description: partial 16S ribosomal RNA
Rfam family: Bacterial small subunit ribosomal RNA
Source: RNAcentral